This 253-nucleotide ribosomal RNA is filed under the name uncultured bacterium. Its description in RNAcentral is "partial 16S ribosomal RNA". It matches the Rfam family "Bacterial small subunit ribosomal RNA", at positions 524 to 776 of the family's 1533-position model. The record is from RNAcentral.
UACGUAGGGCGCAAGCGUUGUCCGGAAUUAUUGGGCGUAAAGAGCUCGUAGGCGGUCUGUUACGUCUGCUGUGAAAACCCGGGGCUUAACCCUGGGCUUGCAGUGGAUACGGGCAGACUAGAGGCAGGUAGGGGAGAAUGGAAUUCCCGGUGUAGCGGUGAAAUGCGCAGAUAUCGGGAGGAACACCAGCGGCGAAGGCGGCUUUCUGGACCAAUACUGACGCUGAGACGCGAAAGCGUGGGGAGCAAACAGG